AAUUAGAUGCCAUCUUCUCUCCUCUCCAAGUAUGUUUCGGGGACAGCGGGGCGAGGCAACCUAUACACCCCAAGACAGGUAACCAGACAGUAUAUCCUCCAAAUGCGUUCCACAUAUCUAAGAGGUCUGUGAAACAAGGACUGUAUACUUUUCAUAUUAUACUAGCAUAACUUAUCUUUUUCAUUGAAGGUAAUCCCCAUGAGUGUCAAUCAUGAUCCACUAGAAAAAUCCUGUGCGAGUCACAUAAUAAUUCUGUAGGAUGUCACAACAUUGGGUGGUCCCCAUUCAUAUGUAAAAUUUUCCACAAAACCUAACAGCAUGUAUCCCUUCCUACUUUUUACACCUGUGAACUCACUGGCACCCCCUUUGUCCCAACCAUGAUCCUAUUUGAUUCAGCAUGGAGAGUAAGAGUCGACCUAGAAAUAUUUAGCAGUUAAGGCCUAAAACUUCCAUGGGAGGUACCUCUGUAAUGGUUUCCUGUAUGCUCCAUGUAGUAGCAUAGAAUGAUGAAGUAAUGAGAGAAGGGAUGCAGGGUACUAUCUGUCCAUGUUGCUUACAUGAACUAAAAUUGAAAAAGCAUUGUGGAAGUGACAUUAACGUUACCACAAAGUUUGUCCACUCAGACAAACUAUGGGGCGUUACAUUUAAAGGAAGUCGUGCUUUGAUUACAGGUACACAAACAACUCUCUCUCUCCCCCCCCCUCCCCCUCCUCUCUCUCUCUCUCCAUAUUUUAUAUAUAAUACAUAUACAUACAUAGCGUGCACAAACACAUACAAAGGUGUUUUCUAUUUUUAUCUCUAGGACUGAAGUACCUAUUGUUAUACUCAGUGCCCUGAAAUUAGUGCAGGAAUUGGAGUUCAGAGCACAAAAUGAACUACAAAAUCAUGAAGCAUCUUGUGUCUCUCUCAGCAUUUCUAAUUAGGUAUUAGAAGCAUAUUAUAUCUCCUUGCACUUAGUUCAAAAGCAAAAAGGAAAAUAUGAAGUGACCAAGAAAUAGCUGAAAUAAUCAGUAAUCUAACUUGCAAAUACCUUAGAUGAGCCUCCUUUGGCAGAAAAUCCGAACUUCAACGUCUUCCUCUGAUCUUGAUCGGCGAGAGCAGUUGCAGUUCGAACCAUGGAGGGGGCUGGAAUGUUUCCUACUUCCUCCGGCGUUUGCUGUUCUUCCUGCUUCUUAUUGGCAGCCCUAGUAAUCAGUGAAAGCAAAGACAGUUCAUCAGCAAGAAAUUGCAUAUCACCACAACAGAAAAUAAAUGCAGAACGUGAAAUAUCAUACAUCUGGGCGAAUUUUGCCAUCUCCCUCUCUUGACGUUGCUGUUCUCUUUUCUGCCUAUCGUCACGGCUACUUCCAUGCAUUUCUCUCAUUUCCUUGAAGCGCUAGAAUAGUAAUCGAAGUUUAAAUAAUGCACGAAGGAGGAGUGCAAUGAAGAUAGUAACUUUUCUUAGGGAUAAUGAUGAAGAUAAUAUCAAUGAACUGAAAAAUAUUAGUAUGAGAUUUAAGAAAACACUUACCUUCCUGUGGUUGUGAUCAUAUGAACUCAAGUGGGCUUCAAACUCCAUCGCUAAUUUAUAUUGCUUGUUGCAUAGCUCACAAAAGAAAACCUUGCGUAUUUCCUUCACCUCCGUUUCAAUUUUGUGCUCGCGUUCUGCUAAAACCUGGAUUUUCAUAAUGUGCAGGAAGCAGGCAGUAGAAGCCACCAGGUAAUAAAAACUGCACGAAAUUCUCAAGAUCUUCCAAAGUUGGUAUUCCCUUAUAUACCAUUCCCGUCAAAAGACACACAUAUAUGCUAUAUGCUGCCUUCUGUUAUUAGAUGUAUGUUUCAGGAAAAGUAAAGUAUCAAACUCAAAUGGUCUAGUGCAACACAUUUACCAGCUACCUAAAAUGUUAUAGGCAUACCUCCCGCUUUUUAGCAAGUUCCUCAGUCUCCUCACGCUCGAUAUCAAGCUUUCGACUUUGAAUAUUUUCUUCUGCUGUAAAAUAAUCAUCUUCCUCUUGCUUUCCAAUACCCAACUUUGGGUCUCGCAUCCCCGAUUUUAUUGGCUCAGUAAUUCCUAGUCUCCAAAAGGAAGAAAUUAAUCAAAACUACUUAACGUGCAUCGACACAUUGCAGUAAUUGUAACUUAAAAAGAUAGAAGAGUCAAUAUGUCAAGCAAUUUUGCGCAUGCAACCUUACCUUGCUCAUUUUUUCCAAGACCCUUCCCUUUCCAACCCAUCUUCUGAAGAAGCCUGAAUCCAAUAUUAGAGGAUGGCAACUGUGUUUCUAAAGAUGCUUGCUCGACAUUUUCCAGGUCUAUGUUUUCUGUUGGUCUAUGAUUAAUAGGAAGGCGAAAAUCUUCAGCGAGAUCCUCUAGAACAGAAGCCUCGUCUGCCUGUGUUUCGAAAAGUUGAGAUAUAGCUUUAUUAAUUAAAACAGCUGAUGAUCAAGAUUAGUCCAUGUAGUAAAACUUCAUAAGUCAUGUGAGACCAUAGCAGAAUCGCAAUAAACUGAAAUGCAUAAGCAUCCUUAGUUCCUUAUUAAGUUGACUACAAAAGCCCAUAUGAUAUUUUAUCUUACUUUUCUUUUUUUAAAACCAAAAAAAAGGAAUAAGAAAAAGGCUUGAACUGCAUUAAGAUGAGUUAUCCUAAUUGCAAAAGCAUCUUCAUAUGCAGUAGCGGAUCCAGGAUUUCAAAGUCGUGGUGUUCAAUUACCAAUAACGGAGACUUACUACAACUGCAAAUUAUAAUUGCACAAUCAUUUUAAACUCGAUGGUAAAAUAUUUGAAGUAUGUGUAUGUGUAUAUGUAUAUGUAUAUGUAUAUGUAUAUACACAUAUACAUAAUUAUCAUCAAAAUAUUAGUAAACUCACAUUUGUCUUCGCUGUUUUCCUACUUUGAAAAUGAUGAAUAAUAGCAUUAUUAGCUACACUAAAUUUCCAAUAUCAAAUUCAGCGCAGCAUUGGUCUAGGUCGAUAUGAAUUGAAAAGUCUCUUUUUUAUACAAAUGAACAAAAAGAAAAAUUUCAAAAGUUAAAUUAAACUAUAUCAAAUUGACUUCAGUCACAAAGGUCAUAUUGAGAAAACGAGAAGAGAAAGGCGAAUUAUUGAGGAAGAAGUCAAAUUGUUGAAACCAACUAGAGGAAGAAAAGAAGUAAAAAAAAGGAAGAACAAAUUGAGAAAUAAAGCAAUAUAGGAAGAUAGCAGGUACAGGAAAUGGAAAAGACAGUAAAGAUUUGAAAGAGAAUAUACUAACAGGAAAAGGUAAAAGAAAGAAACAAUGGCAAAGAGAAUAAAAAGGAAACCAAUUCUUGGGGAAAAAAAAAUAAAGAGGCAAGCAAUUCACGGUAAAAGGUAGAGAAGAAAAGCAUGAGUUGAAAUGAAAAUAAACGUACGUUGAAAGAUUCGAUCUAAGAACAUUUUAGUUCAACCAAAGCACCCAUGAAGUUCCUUUGUUGAUGGGUGCUUAACAAAGGGACUUGACCAAUUAUUGACCAAUCUCUGUACAAAAUACUUGUACCACCAAUGGAGCAACGGGUGCUCUAGCACCCUGCCCAUGUUCAUAUGGUGUCGCCUUAAAUGAGUUGCUAAGUUAGAUUGAAGAGAAAGUAAAGGAAAAAAACAAUAGGGAAAAUAAAUAAAUGAGAUAUCUGUGCUAUAUAUUAAGUAAUUAGUUACUUUUAAUCGGUAAGAUCCCUCAUUAUGUUGAAUAAGGAAAUAAGCUAAACAAGCAUGUAGGUAUAAUCUGUGUUCUAGCUAUUACCUGUUCCAUUUCUUGCUGGCGUUUAUCUCUCAUGCGCAAUUCUGGCCGACCAUUGAACCAUCUAUCAUCCAUAUCUACACGAUAAUGCUAUUCACACAGACAGCAAACAACAAAGUUACUUACCAGCACAACUAGUGUACAAAAGAAAUUGUUGCGCAUUAGUAAAUAAAGUGAGAGGAGCAAAACUGAACCAAGAACGUGCAGCCUAUUACUUAAGAUGCUUUGGUAUGACAUAGAAUGUUAUGAUGAAACCAUUUUCUAGUGUUUUAUACUUAAAUAGUUGAAUAGAUACAUUUCCUUGACAAGUAUCUCAACACUUUGCCAACUGAAAUAGUAAUUCAAGAAAAUGAUUUCCUGGCUAAAUCAUUUUAACUGAAGACAUCUAAUGAAUCAAUUGGAUGGAAGAGACCACCAAAUUCAUUAAACAAUCAAAAUCCGCCAACAGAACAUUGCAUAACAAAACACUCCUAUAAAUUGUAAGAUUCCAAUAGUACACCAGAAACCUAACACGGUAGCAAAAGUCCAUACAGUAGCAAUAUGCUGGUAAAUGGCACAAAUUGAACAGAUUCGUAAAAGACCUUCAUUAAACGGACUAACAUUUUAAUGGUUUAUUAGGUUUAGGUCUCUGAUAAAUCAAAAAUAUAAGAUUUUGCGCCUAUUUUAACGUCUACGAAUGAAAACUGAAGCAAACAAGCACGAAUAACGAAGAAAUUGAUACCUGAUGGAAGAAAAUUGGUUUUGUAGUUGAGAAAAAUCACUUGUUG
This 4497-nucleotide long non-coding RNA is filed under the name Nicotiana tabacum (common tobacco). Its description in RNAcentral is "long non-coding RNA (NTAB_LNC011737)". The record is from RNAcentral. Lineage: Eukaryota; Viridiplantae; Streptophyta; Magnoliopsida; Solanales; Solanaceae.